GGGUGCCAUGGUUCGACGAGCCUUGGCAGGUUGAUGCGCUGGUCGGGCCGCCAGCG
Molecule: non-coding RNA, 56 nt
Filed under: Sphingobium sp.
Lineage: Bacteria; Pseudomonadati; Pseudomonadota; Alphaproteobacteria; Sphingomonadales; Sphingobiaceae
Description: Li+-I sequence
Rfam family: nhaA-I RNA
About the family: Acidobacteria, Alphaproteobacteria, Betaproteobacteria and Gammaproteobacteria, Verrucomicrobia, cand. division NC10. Downstream gene
Source: RNAcentral